This 292-nucleotide ribosomal RNA is filed under the name uncultured bacterium. RNAcentral describes it as "partial 16S ribosomal RNA". It matches the Rfam family "Bacterial small subunit ribosomal RNA", at positions 505 to 796 of the family's 1533-position model. The record is from RNAcentral.
GUGCCAGCCGCCGCGGUAAUACGUAGGGUGCGAGCGUUGUCCGGAAUUACUGGGCGUAAAGAGCUCGUAGGUGGUUUGUCGCGUUGUCCGUGAAAACUCACAACUCAAUUGUGGGCGUGCGGGCGAUACGGGCAGACUGGAGUACUGCAGGGGAGACUGGAAUUCCUGGUGUAGCGGUGGAAUGCGCAGAUAUCAGGAGGAACACCGGUGGCGAAGGCGGGUCUCUGGGCAGUAACUGACGCUGAGGAGCGAAAGCGUGGGGAGCGAACAGGAUUAGAAACCCUCGUAGUCC